RNAcentral lists this transfer RNA (68 nucleotides) under Prosopocoilus astacoides. RNAcentral describes it as "tRNA-Met". It matches the Rfam family "tRNA". From Rfam's summary of the family: Transfer RNA (tRNA) molecules are approximately 80 nucleotides in length. Their secondary structure includes four short double-helical elements and three loops (D, anti-codon, and T loops). The record is from RNAcentral. RNAcentral also lists the same sequence under 3 other names. Lineage: Eukaryota; Metazoa; Arthropoda; Insecta; Coleoptera; Lucanidae.
AAAUAGGUCAGCUAAGCAAGCUAUUGGGUUCAUACCCCGGAAAUAAAGGAUUACACCUUUCCCAUUUA